Molecule: ribosomal RNA, 257 nt
Filed under: uncultured bacterium
Lineage: Bacteria
Description: partial 16S ribosomal RNA
Rfam family: Bacterial small subunit ribosomal RNA
Source: RNAcentral
GUCCUGGCUGUAACGGUGCGCGUUGCUGUGAGCGGAAUCGACCCGCUCGUGGCGAAGCUAACGCGUUAACGCGCCGCCUGGGAAGUACGGCCGCAAGGCUAAACUCAAGAAUUGACGGGCCGUGCACAAGCGGUGGAGUAUGUGGCUUAAUUCGAUGCAACGCGAAGAACCUUACCUGGCCUUGACAUGCAUGUAGUAGAACCCUGAAGGGGACGAGGUAGCAAUACCAGCAUGCACAGGUGCUGCAUGGCUGUCGU